CGAGUCCGAGUCUCCACGGAGACGAAGUGGCGGUCAUCCAGCUUCCUAGAAAAGCUCUAACCACGUUAAUCUUUAGUUGCCUGUACCCGAAACCGACACAGGUAGGGGGGUAGAGAAUACCAAGGGGCGCGAGAUAACUCUCUCUAAGGAACUCGGCAAAAUGACCCCGUAACUUCGGGAGAAGGGGUACCACUGAGAAGUGGUCGCAGUGAAGAGGCCCAGGCGACUGUUUACCAAAAACACAGGUCUCCGCCAAGUCGCAAGACGAAGUAUGGGGGCUGACGCCUGCCCAGUGCCGGAAGGUUAAGGAAGUGGGUUAGGGAUUCGUCCCGAAGCACGACUGAAGCCCCGGUGAACGGCGGCCGUAACUAUAACGGUCCUAAGGUAGCGAAAUUCCUUGUCGGGUAAGUUCCGACCCGCACGAAAGGCGUAACGAUCUGGGCGCUGUCUCGGAGAGAGGCUCGGCGAAAUAGGAAUGUCUGUGAAGAUACGGACUACCUGCACCUGGACAGAAAGACCCUAUGAAGCUUUACUGUAGCUUGGAAUUGGGUUCGGGCUUGGUUUGCGCAGGAUAGGUGGGAGGCGAAGAAGAUUUGCUUGUGGGUGAAUCUGAGCCAACGGUGAGAUACCACUCUAACCAGGCUAGAAUUCUAACUUCAACCCGUCAACCGGGGGAAGGACAGUUUCAGGUGGGCAGUUUGACUGGGGCGGUCGCCUCCUAAAAGAUAACGGAGGCGCACAAAGGUUCCCUCAGGCUGGUUGGAAAUCAGCCAACGAGUGCAAAGGCAGAAGGGAGCUUGACUGCGAGACCUACAAGUCAAGCAGGGUGGAAACACGGUCUUAGUGAUCCGACGGCACCGAGUGGAAGGGCCGUCGCUCAACGGAUAAAAGUUACUCUAAGGAUAACAGGCUGAUCUCCCCCAAGAGUUCACAUCGACGGGGAGGUUUGGCACCUCGAUGUCGGCUCAUCGCAACCUGGGGCGGAAGUACGUCCCAAGGGUUGGGCUGUUCGCCCAUUAAAGCGGUACGUGAGCUGGGUUCAGAACGUCGUGAGACAGUUCGGUCCAUAUCCGGUGUAGGCGCAAGAACAUUGAGAGGAGUCUUCCUUAGUACGAGAGGACCGGGAAGAACGCACCGCUGGUGUACCUGUUAUCGUGCCAACGGUAAACGCAGGGUAGCCAAGUGCGGAGUGGAUAACCGC
RNAcentral lists this ribosomal RNA (1201 nucleotides) under metagenome. RNAcentral describes it as "bacterial LSU rRNA". It matches the Rfam family "Bacterial large subunit ribosomal RNA", at positions 1564 to 2771 of the family's 2925-position model. The record is from RNAcentral.